AUCUCUAGCUGUUUGCUGCAUUUUAUUGCAGUAGUUACAGCCAAAUACAUGCUACAGUAACUUCACAACCGAUUAAAUGCACAUCGGAAGCAAAACCUUAUUAUAAAUACAUUUGUUAACGUUUAAAGUCAAUCCGUUGAGGCUUUUUUUUAAAAGUAAGUUAAGUUAUAAACCGUUUCUCAUUUGCUGCACAGUCACAGAAAGGCUACAACAUCAGCAUCUGUCUGAGGUCCACAAAGAGGAAAUGACUGACAUCUGCAAAGGUCAGAAGGGUGGCGCUUCCUUCAUAAGGAUGGCCUUUACUCAACUGUCCAGGCUCUAUUACUCAAAGGAGCUGGGAAGUGCAAAGGUGGAAUCUUUGCUGUCACAGCGGGGACCGGUGCCACAUUAACCUGUGGAAACUUUGCUGUCACAGUGAAACAGAAGAAUCCUUCUUGAAAACAUCAUGGUGACUUGACGGCUCGAGUGCCAUGAUGGAGGGAGGGGGUUCCAGCUGAAGGCUGUUGGUGUCUCUUGGGUCAACAUGGCCAUCCUUGCAAAGAUGCUGGUGUUUGUCCAGCAGGGGCUGCCUCUCGGGUCGUGAUGUGGACACGGUGUCGUCUCGACAAGGUUCCUGGUUCUGAGAAUGGUGAUUGAAGCUUCUCUGGACAUUUGGACUGAGUUGCAGGCAAAUGAGUUGCCGGUUCUGAGUGGUGAUUGAAACUUCUUUGGACACCUGGACUGUGAUACAGGAACCUAUCACCACUUGGCUUCGCUGGGCUGUUGGGAUUGGUCUUCUGGUAAUGACCACGUCAAUCAGAAGAUGUAUUUCUCAGCUGGUGUUUCACCUUCUGUGGACCCGGUCUGGCACUUAGAACCUCAUGUGAGGGGAACAGCUGUGCUGAUGGAGAAGGAAGUCUUGCCAAGUGUCUGAACUGUUUAUCACUUUUUUGUGUAUAUCCAAAAUUUUUUAUUUUUUUUUGGACAGAAUGUUUUUGCCUUAAUGUUUAAAGGUAUGAAGACAUAGUUUUCAGUUAUAAUUGCAUAAAUUGUCUAUUUCAAAUAAAAAUGCUCA
Cololabis saira (Pacific saury) is the source of this 1054-nucleotide long non-coding RNA. RefSeq lists it as uncharacterized. The transcript is spliced from 12 exons. NCBI's taxonomy places the organism in Eukaryota, Metazoa, Chordata, Actinopteri, Beloniformes, Belonidae. The record is from RefSeq and is a predicted model, not a curated record.